This 466-nucleotide ribosomal RNA is filed under the name uncultured bacterium. RNAcentral describes it as "partial 16S ribosomal RNA". It matches the Rfam family "Bacterial small subunit ribosomal RNA", at positions 28 to 507 of the family's 1533-position model. The record is from RNAcentral.
GAUGAACGCUGGCGGCGUGCUUAACACAUGCCAGUCGAACGAUGAAGCCCAGCUUGCUGGGUGGAUUAGUGGCGAACGGGUGAGUAACACGUGAGUAACCUGCCCUUAACUCUGGGAUAAGCCUGGGAAACUGGGUCUAAUACCGGAUAGGAGCGUCCACCGCAUGGUGGGUGUUGGAAAGAUUUAUCGGUUUUGGAUGGACUCGCGGCCUAUCAGCUUGUUGGUGAGGUAAUGGCUCACCAAGGCGACGACGGGUAGCCGGCCUGAGAGGGUGACCGGCCAAACUGGGACUGAGAAACGGACCAGACUCCUACGGGAGGCAGCAGUGGGGAAUAUUGCAAAAUGGGCGAAAGCCUGAUGCAGCGACGCCGCGUGAGGGAUGACGGCCUUCGGGUUGUAAACCUCUUUCAGUAGGGAAGAAGCGAAAGUGACGGUACCUGCAGAAGAAGCACCGGCUAACUACGUG